UGACAGAAAGCCAGUUAUGACCAGAAGGCACGAGAGAGAGUUUCAGACCAGAGUUAAGGUGUUGGUUCUUCUUCCCUCCUCCGCAAAUAAAUUAUUAACCAAAUGGCAAGGGCCAUUUGAGAUAAAAAGGAGGGCUGGAACUGUAGAUUAUGAAGUACACCACCCAGGGCAUGUAAGGGAACACCAGAUCUACCGUGUAAACCUACUGAAGGCCUGGAGGGAGCCUGAGGGAUGGCUGUUAAGUUCCGAAGAGAUACAUGAAGAUCUAGGCCCCAAGGUGCUCCAGUAGAUGGUCAGGUUAUUCAUUGUUAAGAAGAGCCAGAAGGUCUUGUAGAACACCUGGAACAAGGAGGAGGAACCAGCCUAGAUUCACUGGUUGCAAAAAAGUGUUUGGAUCAACUGUCUUGGAACCUGAAGUCCCCAUUAUUCACAGGGCAGAAAAAGGACACAGCUC
Long non-coding RNA from Alligator mississippiensis (American alligator), 454 nucleotides. RefSeq lists it as uncharacterized. The record is from RefSeq and is a predicted model, not a curated record. Lineage: Eukaryota; Metazoa; Chordata; Crocodylia; Alligatoridae. The transcript has 3 exons.